UUUGGAGGGCAAGUCUGGUGCCAGCAGCCGCGGUAAUUCCAGCUCCAAUAGCGUAUAUUAAAGUUGUUGCAGUUAAAAAGCUCGUAGUUGAAUUUCGGGGUUAGUAGGUUGGUCAUGCCUCUGGUAUGUACUGAUCUCACUGAUUCCUCCUUCCUUAUGAACCGUAAUGCCAUUAAUUUGGUGUUGCGGGGAAUUUGGACUGUUACUUUGAAAAAAUUAGAGUGUUUAAAGCAGGCUAACGCUUGAAUACAUUAGCAUGGAAUAAUGAAAUAGGACGUUCGAUCUUAUUUUGUUGGUUUCUAGGAUUGACGUAAUGAUUAAUAGGGAUAGUUGGGGGCAUUAGUAUUCAAUUGUCAGAGGUGAAAUUCUUGGAUUUAUUGAAGACUAACUACUGCGAAAGCAUUUGCCAAGGAUGUUUUCAUUAAUCAAGAACGAAAGUUAGGGGAUCGAAGACGAUCAGAUACCGUCGUAGUCUUAACCAUAAACUAUGCCGACUAGGGAUCGGAUGAUGUUAAUUUUUUAAUGACUCAUUCGGCGCCUUACGGGAAACA
RNAcentral lists this ribosomal RNA (551 nucleotides) under uncultured Rhizophagus. RNAcentral describes it as "SSU rRNA". It matches the Rfam family "Eukaryotic small subunit ribosomal RNA", at positions 547 to 1099 of the family's 1831-position model. Lineage: Eukaryota; Fungi; Glomeromycota; Glomeromycetes; Glomerales; Glomeraceae. The record is from RNAcentral.